RNAcentral lists this ribosomal RNA (382 nucleotides) under Mytilus galloprovincialis (Mediterranean mussel). RNAcentral describes it as "partial 16S ribosomal RNA". It matches the Rfam family "Bacterial large subunit ribosomal RNA", at positions 1937 to 2566 of the family's 2925-position model. The record is from RNAcentral. Lineage: Eukaryota; Metazoa; Mollusca; Bivalvia; Mytilida; Mytilidae.
UAACGUGAGCGUCCUAAGGUAGCGCGAUAAUUUGCUUUUCAAUUGAAGGAUGGUAUGAAAGGGUUAACGAAGAAGGUGCUGUGUCUAAAAAUUCAAUUUAAACUAACUUUAAGGUGAAGAGGCCUUUAUGUAAAAGAAGGACGACAAGACCCUAUGAAGCUUUAUCUUAAUUGGAGCUCUCAGGCUCUUAUACGAUUUUGAUGGGAGAUCAGUAGAAAUAAGUCUUCUACUAUCAUAUUAAUCUUACUAGUAUUUCCUAACUUUAUAUGUGCGGCUAGCUACUCUAGGGAUAACAGCGCAAUUUCUCCCGAAAGAUGGUAUUGGAGGGGAAGAUUGCGACCUCGAUGUUGGCUUUAGAUAUCCUAGAGGCGUAGAAGCUUCU